This 79-nucleotide small RNA is filed under the name Flaviramulus basaltis. RNAcentral's name for it is "Flavo-1 RNA". It matches the Rfam family "Flavo-1 RNA". The record is from RNAcentral. Lineage: Bacteria; Pseudomonadati; Bacteroidota; Flavobacteriia; Flavobacteriales; Flavobacteriaceae.
UUGCUGCCCGCGUUAAGGAUUGAAACGACAUCCUUUUGCUUUUUUUUGGCAAAAGAUAUAGUGAAAAGCCUGACCCGAU